This is a long non-coding RNA of Chinchilla lanigera (long-tailed chinchilla), 1180 nucleotides long. RefSeq lists it as uncharacterized. The record is from RefSeq and is a predicted model, not a curated record. Lineage: Eukaryota; Metazoa; Chordata; Mammalia; Rodentia; Chinchillidae. The transcript has 3 exons.
UUUAAAAAUCAGGAUAUUUCACAUAAAAAUCCAGCUUUCCAGCUUCUCUGAAAAAUUCAGAAGCCCUGGCAGUCCCCGUCUGUGUUCCCAUGAGGCCACUCUGCUCCCGAGCCUCGCGGCCGGCCCUGUCCUCCUCCUGCAGCCUGGCCCACUUACCUCACCCACGAGCGAGCACCCUCAGAACAGCAGGAUUCGGGACCCCCGGGCGUGUGGUCACAAGUGGACAGGAGCCUGGCCACCAGUGUGUGCGCGCAUGACUGUGUGUGCGAGGGCUGCGUGUGUACAAUGCGUGUGUGCACGUGUAAGGCAAAGCUGUGCAUGAGGCAAACCUAUGUGGCAGUGUGUUCACGAAAGCCGGCAUGUGUGUGUGAGAAGUGUUCGUGGGGGCAUGGGUGUGCAGACGUGCGUGCACGUGUGUGUACGUGGGGUGUGGCCACGUGGAGUGUGUGAACCACUGUGGUCUGGCGUGCUCUGCACAGGGGCCUCCUCCGGCCUUCGAGGGGAGUCAGGUUCCCGGCUUCUGGCUGGGCUGCCUUGCGGGAUUUAUUUCUGUCUCGGUGCCCACUAGAGGCCUGAGUAAUGGGAACAUUUAAAGAGAACCAGUAAAUUCGAACAGAGGGGGCCGGCUGACCGGGAAACGGCCCAGACGCCCUGCCCAGCCCGCGGCUGCGGGAGCCCGAGGCCAGGCCUGAGCACAGGAAGGAGGUGGCUGUGGGGCCGGCGUGCGCACCCACGUGUUCUGCAGGCUGCUCCUUUCUAUCCCAGCCCGCCUGCGGGUCCCCGGGCCAACAGUGGGCAUCCUGACAGCGUGGCUCCACUCAGCAGGUGUUCGGGGCAGGUCCAGAGCUGAGGGUCCUGAACUCCAGGGCCCAAAGGGUGCUGUCCCAGCCAAGCCACAGCGGGUCCGCGGCCCAGAGGUUCUGUGUGCGCAGUCUCCAGAACAGACGUCCAAUUACUCCAACACGGUCUGCUGAAAAGACAUCUUUCCCUCAUCGAAUUCAUGCUGCACCCUGACCACGCUCACCUGCCAGCCCUGAGCACUGUUCCACGGCCUUCCCACAGUACCAGUCUUGACUACCGGAGCUGCACACACUUCAUUGAUCAACUUUUUAUGGCAAUUUCUGUCAACAUUACAAUGUGUCCUCACCCACCUUUUCACCGGAUCUGGCACUGUGUGACC